AGGCAUUAUUUUCUUAUAAAAAUAAUUAUUUUAAUACUUCUUAAAUAAUAAUUUCAAUAUGAAAUGCAAAAUAUUUAAAUGUUUUUACUUUAUUGCAACUUUUAUCUAUAUAAAAAUUGGUCGUUAUAUAGAUUUACAUAAUAAACCAAAUCAAACUUAUCACACAAAGAGGUUGGCCUAUUGGUGAAGACCUGGGACUUGAGAGUUUGCUCCUCUUAAUGUUUCAAGUUCAACACCUAGUAGUGUCCACUUUUUGUUAUUUAUCUCCUUUGUUAUUUUUUACUUUUGUUUAAGGUCCCAAUAAAAUCUACUAUUUAUUUAUCAUCUUAUCAUUUAAAUAUUGUUCGUAAAUGUCUUUUAAAAUUGCAUUUAAAUGCUNACAUAAUAAACCAAAUCAAACUUAUCACACAAAGUGGUUGGCCUAUUGGUGAAGACCUGGGACUUGAGAGUUUGCUCCUCUUAAUGUUUCAAGUUCAACACCUGGUAGUGUCAACUUUUUG
This 500-nucleotide long non-coding RNA is filed under the name Lathyrus oleraceus (garden pea). RNAcentral describes it as "Pisum sativum (pea) long non-coding RNA (PSAT_LNC019333)". Lineage: Eukaryota; Viridiplantae; Streptophyta; Magnoliopsida; Fabales; Fabaceae. The record is from RNAcentral.